UACGUAGGGAGCAAGCGUUGUCCGGAAUCAUUGGGCGUAAAGCGCGCGUAGGUGGCCAUGUAAGUCCGCUGUGAAAGUCAAAGGCUCAACCUUUGAAAGCCGGUGGAUACUGCAUGGCUAGAGUACGGAAGAGGCGAGUGGAAUUCCUGGUGUAGCGGUGGAAUGCGCAGAUAUCAGGAGGAACACCAAUAGCGAAGGCAGCCCGCUGGGACGUCACUGACACUGAGGCGCGAAAGCGUGGGGAGCGAACAGG
RNAcentral lists this ribosomal RNA (253 nucleotides) under uncultured bacterium. RNAcentral describes it as "partial 16S ribosomal RNA". It matches the Rfam family "Bacterial small subunit ribosomal RNA", at positions 524 to 776 of the family's 1533-position model. The record is from RNAcentral.